RNAcentral lists this ribosomal RNA (253 nucleotides) under uncultured bacterium. Its description in RNAcentral is "partial 16S ribosomal RNA". It matches the Rfam family "Bacterial small subunit ribosomal RNA", at positions 524 to 776 of the family's 1533-position model. The record is from RNAcentral.
UACGUAGGUGGCAAGCGUUGUCCGGAUUUACUGGGCGUAAAGGGCGUGCAGGCGGUCUGUUAAGUUCAGGGUGAAAGCUCCCGGCUCAACUGGGAGAGGUCCUUGGAUACUGGCAGACUUGAGGGAGGUAGAGGAGAGUGGAAUUCCCGGUGUAGUGGUGAUAUGCGUAGAUAUCGGGAGGAACACCAGUGGCGAAGGCGGCUCACUGGACCGGUACUGACGCUGAGGCGCGAAAGCGUGGGGAGCAAACAGG